Molecule: ribosomal RNA, 484 nt
Filed under: uncultured bacterium
Lineage: Bacteria
Description: bacterial SSU rRNA
Rfam family: Bacterial small subunit ribosomal RNA
Source: RNAcentral
CGACGCAACGCCGCGUGGAGGAUGAAGACCUUCGGGUCGUAAACUCCUUUCGAUCGAGACGAAUGGCCUCCGGGUGAACACUCCGGAGGAGUGACGGUACCGAGAGAAGAAGCCCCGGCUAACUCCGUGCCAGCAGCCGCGGUAAUACGGGGGGGGCAAGCGUUGUUCGGAAUUACUGGGCGUAAAGGGCUCGUAGGCGGCCAACUAAGCCAGACGUGAAAUCCCUCGGCUUAACCGGGGAACUGCAUCUGAUACUGGAUGGCUUGAGAUCGGGAGAGGGAUGCGGAAUUCCAGGUGUAGCGGUGAAAUGCGUAGAUAUCUGGAGGAACACCGGUGGCGAAGGCGGCAUCCUGGACCGACACUGACGCUGAUGAGCGAAAGCCAGGGGAGCAAACGGGAUUAGAUACCCCGGUAGUCCUGGCCCUAAACGAUGAAUGCUUGGUGUGGCGGGUAUCGAUCCCUGCCGUGCCGAAGCUAACGCAUU